Molecule: transfer RNA, 71 nt
Filed under: Cavia porcellus (domestic guinea pig)
Lineage: Eukaryota; Metazoa; Chordata; Mammalia; Rodentia; Caviidae
Rfam family: tRNA
About the family: Transfer RNA (tRNA) molecules are approximately 80 nucleotides in length. Their secondary structure includes four short double-helical elements and three loops (D, anti-codon, and T loops).
Source: Rfam by way of RNAcentral
GGGGAUUUAGCUCAGCGGCAUAAGCACCUGCCUUGCAAGCAGGCGGUCGUGAAUUUGAUUCCCGGUACCUA